AGGACGAACGCUGGCGGCGUGCUUAACACAUGCAAGUCGAGCGGUAAGGCCUUUCGGGGUACACGAGCGGCGAACGGGUGAGUAACACGUGGGUGAUCUGCCCUGCACUUCGGGAUAAGCCUGGGAAACUGGGUCUAAUACCGGAUAUGACCUCCUAUCGCAUGGUGGGUGGUGGAAAGAUUUAUCGGUGCAGGAUGGGCCCGCGGCCUAUCAGCUUGUUGGUGGGGUAAUGGCCUACCAAGGCGACGACGGGU
This 254-nucleotide ribosomal RNA is filed under the name uncultured soil bacterium. RNAcentral describes it as "partial 16S ribosomal RNA". It matches the Rfam family "Bacterial small subunit ribosomal RNA", at positions 26 to 284 of the family's 1533-position model. The record is from RNAcentral.